CCCGCCUCGGCGCCCCGCCGGCAUCCUCAGGCCCGGCCUCGUGAGCUGCCCUUUACUGUGGGGGCCCUGGCUCCCCUUCCUCACCUAAAAUUCUCUCUGCGUCCCCUCCCUCCCUGGCGCCUGGAGCCGCAUCCAGCCCGCGGUCCCUUCGCCCGACCUGGGUGGCAUGCGGUCCUCCCUCGCCCCUUGCUUGGGUUCCUGCGCCCCUAGUCCUAGCUCCCCUCUUUUGUAUCCCCUUUUAAUCCCCCAUCCCCCCAUUCAACCCAACUUCAGCCCCCGCGCUGCGCCCCCCUUCCCUGGCCCGGCUCGAUUGGCCGCUUCCUGAGCUGUCAGACUUGAGUCCGGCGCUCUUAUUGGGCGAUUCUCGGGCCGGGCGGCUGUGCCAAAGGAGGGCGCACCGGGCCGGGGGCGCCCAGGCAGCGACUGCCGCAGGGAGCCGAAGACCAGAGUCGCUGGAGGGCCAGAGGGGCCCAAGAGCCAGACCCGGAAAUGGACGGGAGAGAUGGAGAGACUGAGGAUCUCUGAGGCCCAGGAAGACAGUUACGGGAAAGAUGGAGAUGCAGUUGUCCUGCUGGAAGUUCCCGCAGCCUAAACUCUGGACAGAUGGGGAACAGUCACCUCUAAUCCCAGGAGGGAGAAACAAGCUUCAUUUUCUUCCUUCAGCUCUCCCUGUGGAGGUUCUGACAAAGAGACUAGAGGCCUGGGCAUUUCACCUGAUGAGCAAACAGUCCACUCAACGCAGGACUGAGGGACGAGCACUAAACUUGGGGUCAGAGUACCUGGAGGUUCUUCACCAGCCCCACCACUUUCCAGCUGCAUGAUGUCUGACAAGUCAUCUGUCUCCUCUCUGAACUGCGGUCCCCAGCAAGGGUGACUGCUCUCCUGCCCUUAACAAUUUGACGUGAGGAUCUAGACAAUGAUGUGGAAUUCCUUUUCAAGUUAUUCACCCUUAUGUAAACCAGGGAUCAUUCUUAAUAAUAGCAAAAUAAUAAAUUCACUCUUAAUAAAGUCA
Molecule: long non-coding RNA, 1012 nt
Filed under: Bos mutus (wild yak)
Lineage: Eukaryota; Metazoa; Chordata; Mammalia; Artiodactyla; Bovidae
Description: lncRNA (ENSBMUG00000011180.1)
Source: RNAcentral